This 602-nucleotide ribosomal RNA is filed under the name uncultured bacterium. RNAcentral's name for it is "bacterial SSU rRNA". It matches the Rfam family "Bacterial small subunit ribosomal RNA", at positions 9 to 656 of the family's 1533-position model. The record is from RNAcentral.
AAGUUUGAUCAUGGCUCAGAACGUACGCUGGCGGCACGCCUAAUACAUGCAAGUCGAACGAAGUAGCAAUACUUAGUGGCAGACGGGUGAGUAACAUGUGGGUAUCUUCCCUUUGGUGAGGAAUAACACGAGGAAACUUGUGCUAAUACCUCAUAAGUCUUUACGGAGAAAGCUUUAUGCGCCAAUGGACGAGCCCGCACUUGAUUAGUUUGUUGGUAGGGUAAUGGCCUACCAAGACUGUGAUCAAUAGCUGAUUUGAGAGGAUGAUCAGCCACAUUGGGAUUGAGACACGGCCCAAACUCCUACGGGAGGCAGCAGUAGGGAAUCUUGCACAAUGGAGGAAACUCUGAUGCAGCGAUGCCGCGUGAGUGAAGAAGGCCCUUGGGUUGUAAAGCUCUUUCGUCGGGGAAGAAAAUGACUGUACCCGAAUAAGAAGGUCCGGCUAACUUCGUGCCAGCAGCCGCGGUAAUACGAAGGGACCUAGCGUAGUUCGGAAUUACUGGGCUUAAAGAGUUCGUAGGUGGUUAAAAAAGUUGGUGGUGAAAUCCCAGAGCUUAACUCUGGAACUGCCAUCAAAACUUUUUAGCUAGAGUAUGAUAGAG